UGGGGAAUAUUGCACAAUGGGCGCAAGCCUGAUGCAGCGACGCCGCGUGAGGGAUGAAGGCCUUCGGGUUGUAAACCUCUUUCGUCAGGGAACAAGGCACUGCUUUUUUGGUGGUGUUGAGGGUACCUGGAUAAGAAGCGCCGGCUAACUACGUGCCAGCAGCCGCGGUAAUACGUAGGGCGCAAGCGUUGUCCGGAAUUAUUGGGCGUAAAGAGCUCGUAGGCGGCUGGUCGCGUCUGUCGUGAAAACUUCCGGCUCAACCGGGGGCUUGCGGUGGGUACGGGCCGGCUAGAGUGCGGUAGGGGUAACUGGAACUCCUGGUGUAGCGGUGGAAUGCGCAGAUAUCAGGAAGAACACCGAUGGCGAAGGCAGGUUACUGGGCCGUUACUGACGCUGAGGAGCGAAAGCGUGGGGAGCGAACA
RNAcentral lists this ribosomal RNA (422 nucleotides) under uncultured Actinomyces sp. RNAcentral describes it as "bacterial SSU rRNA". It matches the Rfam family "Bacterial small subunit ribosomal RNA", at positions 355 to 774 of the family's 1533-position model. The record is from RNAcentral. Lineage: Bacteria; Bacillati; Actinomycetota; Actinomycetes; Actinomycetales; Actinomycetaceae.